CCUACGGGUGGCAGCAGUGGGGAAUAUUGCGCAAUGGGCGAAAGCCUGAAGCAGCGAAGCCGCGUGAGGGAUGAAGGUCUUCGGAUCGGAAACCUCUGUCAGCAGGGAAGAACGGUCACUGUGCUAAUCAGCAGUGAAUUGACGGUACCUGCAAAGGAAGCACCGGCUAACUCCGGGCCAGCAGCGGCGGUAAUACGGAGGGUGCGUGCGUUAAUCGGAAUUAGUGGGCGUAAAGCGCUCGUAGGCGGUAUGUCAAGUCAAGGGUGAAAUCCCCGCGCUCAACGUGGGAACUGCCUUUGAAACUGGCAAACUGGAGUGUGUGAGAGGAUAGUGGAAUGCCAGGUGUAGGAGUGAAAUCCGUAGAUAUCUGGAGGAACAUCAGUGGCGAAGGCGACAAUCCGGCACAUAACUGACGCUGAGGAGCGAAAGCGUGGGUAGCAAACAGGAUUAGAUACCCGGGUAGUC
RNAcentral lists this ribosomal RNA (465 nucleotides) under uncultured bacterium. RNAcentral describes it as "partial 16S ribosomal RNA". It matches the Rfam family "Bacterial small subunit ribosomal RNA", at positions 338 to 795 of the family's 1533-position model. The record is from RNAcentral.